Long non-coding RNA from Daphnia magna, 2315 nucleotides. RefSeq lists it as uncharacterized. NCBI's taxonomy places the organism in Eukaryota, Metazoa, Arthropoda, Branchiopoda, Diplostraca, Daphniidae. The transcript is spliced from 4 exons. The record is from RefSeq and is a predicted model, not a curated record.
GGAAGGAAUUCCACCAUUUCAGUUUCAGUUGUCGUCACAGUUAGUACUGGGGGGAGUAUAGGUUAAGACUUAAGAGCAAGCGUUUUCAUUCUAGAAAUUCCUAUUUCCUAGUACUUUUAAAACCCUAUGGUUUUUCCAAUGUCUCAAAAAGCAAACUCAUAUCAAAUUAUAGUAUAAUUCUGAAGUCUGUUGAAAUUCUAAUGAGCAUAAUUGUUUGUUGGAGAAGCUUUACAUGAGUUUUAUCAGCCGACGAAUAUUUGUGCUGGCUUUCACAACAAAAGAAUUUGACUGUUCAGUAGCUGAAACUAAAGUGUAGUUUGAUUGGUUGUUGUAACAAUGUCAAAGACUUCCACCAUGGUAGUAAAAUGUGGGCUACACUCAUUUUAUUUAACUUCAUCUCAACAACGAAAGUUUUUCUCAGCUGAUCUCACAUGUUGUAGCUUCAACGCACAAGUCUGCUUGUACGGAAGACAGCAUAACCACCAAUAGUCUAACCAAAACAUCAAAUCUAACAGCUCAUGAAUCAGUAAGUUAGACUUGACCAUAUGUUUCAUACCAUACUGAUUGCAGUUGGAAUAUCAUGAAAUAAAUUGCAUCCAAUCAUUUGAAAGGUGUGGCCGGUAUUUUCGCUGUCGAAGGUGCCACAAAUGUUAAUUGUUUUGGAUCCGUGGUUGUUAGGCUACCACAUGCGUCUCUAUGAAGAAACCGAAAUGAAUGUCUUUUGUUACAAGACCGUCAUCAGUGUCGAAGGUUUUAUUGUAAGUUUCUUAUUCGUAACGUUUAGGGACACCGCAAAGAGUAUCAUUAAUCCACCUUUUAUGUAUGUAUUUAAGUACUUUAAGAAACCUGGGUUUGUAAUUUUAAAAUGUAGGCCGUCCAGGUAUUUUGGGAGGAGGUGGAGGGAUACUUUUAAGGGAAAUGUUUAAUUUUCAAUCAUACGUUUACUCAAGUACUCCUAUUUAAUCGACUUAGUUUGGUAAACGAAAAGCUCUUCCAUCGAUAUUCUUUAAUGAUUACCCUUAUAUUUUGUUCUUGGGGUUAUUUGGGGUUUUCAGACAACAAAAUCUAAUACUUUUUUCAGAGAGGUAGAUAAUAUAGUUUCUAUAACUUUUUUUUUCUUCUUCUCCUCCUGAAAUUGAAGAUUUUUCAGCCCUGAUCUGGCAACGUUCUAGCGAUAAUGAUUCUUACCUCUUUCCUUUAUUCCGUUUACUCUGUGGUUGUAGGUAUUACCACAGAUUGUGGUACUACCGUACUAGCAUGGUACUAGGCAGCAUUUACCACGUUAUGUUGUCUGAUGGGUCUUACGGUAUUUUAAAUUUGCAUAUGCAUGUUUGUAAACUUUGGCACGAUUCCGAUCCAUUUCCUUUAUAAAUCAGGAUACCACCUUUUUAAAAGUACAUUUCCCAUAUUCUACCAAUCGGAUAUCUUCGUGAUAGAACACAUUUUGGCAACCUACACGAAAGCGUCGAGUCUUUGUUGAAACUGUCAGUGCUUAAAUUAAAUUAUAUUUAUUUCUCGUCGUUGUUUUAAACGAUUUCAUAAACCUUGUCUUUUUGUCACUUGGUGUGCAUUUUUAUCGAAGUCGGUAAGUAGUACAAGUAUUUUUGUCCUGAACAACCAAUGGUGGUACAGUAAUCAUUUGGUUUCACCUAGAACAGCCAAUCUGACCUGUAGAAUUGGAAACAUUUUGUUAUCAUCCUAGGACUUGAAUUGUCAACAUUUGGCAAAGAAUGGGAAAGCUGCAUGUUUGAUAUUUCAACCAUGAUUAUAUCUGUUAUUGGUUGAACAUUGGACUACUAUUUUUAGCCCACACUUGUAUUUGGAUUUCUGGGAUGCUCAAUGUUGCUACAGAAAGUUUUUGCUAAUUCAUUCAACCCUUUCUGUACCUACUUCCAGUAGGAGCAUUGAGCUGCAGCCCACAUCCGGCAUCAAAAUGUUUGGGAGUGGAGUAUUUAAGUUGAACUACCUUCUUGAUCUGCUAUUAGACUUCUUUGUUCCUCUCUGUUAAAGGCAAAAUACCUUCAUAGUAAAUCAAUGUGUCAAGCUACUUUCUAAGGUUUUUAGAAAAAUUUUAAAUUUGUUGUUGUUGCAUAGAUUUGAACUUAAUCCUUUUCCGCAGUAUCCUGAAAUACUCACAAUAUGAUUUCCUUUUUGACAAGUUAUCUCUUGUCAAAAUACCAUUUUAUAAGAUUGUUUUCUUGUUUUGAAGGUAAACUGUAACACGAUAGGCAGUUAAGUUUAUCAAAUGGUUUUCCUACCAGUGGCGUGACAAUUGUGAACAGUUUACAAAAUAUAUCGAUAGAAUGAUUUUCAAA